RNAcentral lists this ribosomal RNA (286 nucleotides) under uncultured bacterium. RNAcentral's name for it is "partial 16S ribosomal RNA". It matches the Rfam family "Bacterial small subunit ribosomal RNA", at positions 28 to 311 of the family's 1533-position model. The record is from RNAcentral.
GAUGAACGCUAGCGGCAGGCCUAAUACAUGCAAGCCGAACGGCAAGUUGAGUAGCAAUACUUGACCUAGAGUGGCGUAAGGGUGCGUAACACGUAUGCAAUCUACCCGCAACAGGAGGAUAGCUCUCCGAAAGGGGAAUUAAGCCUCCAUGGGAUCAUGGGGUGGCAUCACUCCAUGAUUAAACUACCAGGGGUUGUGGAUGAGCAUGCGCAUGAUUAGUUAGUUGGCGGGUAACGGCCCACCAAGACGAUGAUCAUUAGGGGAACUGAGAGGUUGACUCCCCCAC